UACGGAGGGGGCAAGCGUUGUUCGGAAUUACUGGGCGUAAAGGGCGCGCAGGCGGCUGCUCAAGUCAGGCGUGAAAGGCCUGGGCUCAACCCGGAAAGGUCAGCCGAUACUGCAGGGCUAGAGUGCAGAAGGGGCAACUGGAAUUCUCGGUGUAGCGGUGAAAUGCGUAGAUAUCGAGAGGAACACCUGCGGCGAAGGCGGGUUGCUGGGCUGACACUGACGCUGACAGCGCGAAAGCUAGGGGAGCGAACGGG
Molecule: ribosomal RNA, 254 nt
Filed under: uncultured bacterium
Lineage: Bacteria
Description: partial 16S ribosomal RNA
Rfam family: Bacterial small subunit ribosomal RNA
Source: RNAcentral